Molecule: ribosomal RNA, 598 nt
Filed under: uncultured bacterium
Lineage: Bacteria
Description: bacterial SSU rRNA
Rfam family: Bacterial small subunit ribosomal RNA
Source: RNAcentral
CCUACGGGAGGCAGCAGUGGGGAAUUUUCCGCAAUGGGCGAAAGCCUGACGGAGCAAUACCGCGUGAGGGACGAAGGCUUUUGGGUCGUAAACCUCUUUUCCCUGAGAAGAAGAUCUGACGGUAUCAGGGGAAUCAGCAUCGGCUAACUUCGUGCCAGCAGCCGCGGUAAUACGAGGGAUGCAAGCGUUAUCCGGAAUUAUUGGGCGUAAAGCGUCCGCAGGUGGCUCUGUAAGUCUGUCGUUAAAGAAUGGGGCUCAACCCCAUACAGGCGAUGGAAACUACAAGGCUAGAGUUUGGUAGGGGUCACGGGAAUUCCUAGUGUAGCGGUGAAAUGCGUAGAUAUUAGGAAGAACACCAGCGGCGAAAGCGCGUGACUGGGCCAGUACUGACACUCAUGGACGAAAGCUAGGGGAGCGAAAGGGAUUAGAUACCCCUGUAGUCCUAGCCGUAAACGAUGAUAACUAGGUGUUGCCCGUAUCGACCCGGGCAGUGCGUACGCACGACGUAGUUAUCGCCGUGGGAGUACGCACGCAGUGUGAACGUACAAGAAGUAGACGGCGUGAGACGUGCCGAACGGACGACGACGAGGGAGGUAGG